RNAcentral lists this ribosomal RNA (254 nucleotides) under uncultured bacterium. RNAcentral describes it as "partial 16S ribosomal RNA". It matches the Rfam family "Bacterial small subunit ribosomal RNA", at positions 524 to 776 of the family's 1533-position model. The record is from RNAcentral.
UACGUAGGGGGCAAGCGUUGUCCGGAUUUAUUGGGCGUAAAGAGCUCAUAGGCGGUUGGGCAAGUCACGUGUGAAAUCUCCACGCUCAACGUGGAGGCGCCACGUGAGACUGCCCUGACUCGAGUCCGGUAGGGGAGCGUGGAAUUCCUGGUGUAGCGGUGAAAUGCGCAGAUAUCAGGAGGAACACCGGUGGCGAAGGCGGCAUGCUGGACCUCAACUGACGCUGAGGCGCGAAAGCCAGGGGAGCAAACGGG